Molecule: ribosomal RNA, 497 nt
Filed under: uncultured bacterium
Lineage: Bacteria
Description: partial 16S ribosomal RNA
Rfam family: Bacterial small subunit ribosomal RNA
Source: RNAcentral
GAUGAACGCUGGCGGCGUGCCUAAUACAUGCAAGUCGAGCGAACGGACGAGAAGCUUGCUUCUCCGAUGUUAGCGGCGGACGGGUGAGUAACACGUGGAUAACCUACCUAUAAGACUGGGAUAACUUCGGGAAACCGGAGCUAAUACCGGAUAAUAUUUUAAACCGCAUGGUUCAAAAGUGAAAGACGGUCUUGCUGUCACUUAUAGAUGGAUCCGCGCUGCAUUAGCUAGUUGGUAAGGUAACGGCUUACCAAGGCAACGAUGCAUAGCCGACCUGAGAGGGUGAUCGGCCACACUGGAACUGAGACACGGUCCAGACUCCUACGGGAGGCAGCAGUAGGGAAUCUUCCGCAAUGGGCGAAAGCCUGACGGAGCAACGCCGCGUGAGUGAUGAAGGUCUUCGGAUCGUAAAACUCUGUUAUUAGGGAAGAACAUAUGUGUAAGUAACUGUGCACAUCUUGACGGUACCUAAUCAGAAAGCCACGGCUAACUACGUG